GACGAACGCUGGCGGCGUGCUUAACACAUGCAAGUCGAGCGAUGAAGCUUCCUUCGGGAAGUGAAUUAGCGGCGGACGGGUGAGUAACACGUGGGUAACCUGCCUCAAAGAGGGGGAUAGCCUUCCGAAAGGAAGAUUAAUACCGCAUAAUAUCAUUUCAAUGCAUGUUGAAAUGAUUAAAGGAGUAAUCCGCUUUGAGAUGGACCCGCGGCGCAUUAGCUAGUUGGUGAGGUAACGGCUCACCAAGGCAACGAUGCGUAGCCGACCUGAGAGGGUGAUCGGCCACAUUGGGACUGAGACACGGCCCAGACUCCUACGGGAGGCAGCAGUGGGGAAUAUUGCGCAAUGGGGGAAACCCUGACGCAGCAACGCCGCGUGAGUGAUGACGGUCUUCGGAUUGUAAAGCUCUGUUUUCAGGGACGAUAAUGACGGUACCUGAGGAGGAAGCCACGGCUAACUACGUGCCAGCCGCCGCCGUAA
This 480-nucleotide ribosomal RNA is filed under the name uncultured bacterium. RNAcentral describes it as "partial 16S ribosomal RNA". It matches the Rfam family "Bacterial small subunit ribosomal RNA", at positions 28 to 523 of the family's 1533-position model. The record is from RNAcentral.